GACGAACGCUGGCGGCGUGCCUAAUACAUGCAAGUCGAACGCAGUGGGGACGGGUGAGUAACACGUGGGUAACCUCCCAUCAGAGGGGAUAACCCUUGGUAACAGGUGCUAAACCGAUCCUGAUGGAUGGACCCGCGGUGCAUUAGCUACUUGGUGGUGUAACGGCUCACCAAGGCCACGAUGCCUACCCGGCCUGAGCGGGUGAUGGGCCACCCGGGGACUGAGACACGGCCCAGACUCCUACGGGAGGCAGCAGUAGGGAAUCUUCGGCAAUGGACGAAAGUCUGACCGAGCAACGCCGCGUGAGUGAAGAAGGUUUUCGGAUCGUAAAACUCUGUUGUUAGAGAAGCGGUAUCUAACCAGAAAGCCACGGCUAAAAACGUGCCAGCAGCCGCGGUAAUUC
This 403-nucleotide ribosomal RNA is filed under the name uncultured bacterium. RNAcentral's name for it is "partial 16S ribosomal RNA". It matches the Rfam family "Bacterial small subunit ribosomal RNA", at positions 28 to 526 of the family's 1533-position model. The record is from RNAcentral.